RNAcentral lists this ribosomal RNA (253 nucleotides) under uncultured bacterium. RNAcentral describes it as "partial 16S ribosomal RNA". It matches the Rfam family "Bacterial small subunit ribosomal RNA", at positions 524 to 776 of the family's 1533-position model. The record is from RNAcentral.
UACGUAGGUGGCAAGCGUUAUCCGGAAUUAUUGGGCGUAAAGAGCGCGCAGGUGGUUAAUUAAGUCUGAUGUGAAAGCCCACGGCUUAACCGUGGAGGGUCAUUGGAAACUGGUUGACUUGAGUGCAGAAGAGGGAAGCGGAAUUCCAUGUGUAGCGGUGAAAUGUGUAGAGAUAUGGAGGAACACCAGUGGCGAAGGCGGCUUCCUGGUCUGCAACUGACACUGAGGCGCGAAAGCGUGGGGAGCAAACAGG